RNAcentral lists this transfer RNA (73 nucleotides) under Canis lupus familiaris (dog). It matches the Rfam family "tRNA". From Rfam's summary of the family: Transfer RNA (tRNA) molecules are approximately 80 nucleotides in length. Their secondary structure includes four short double-helical elements and three loops (D, anti-codon, and T loops). The record is from Rfam by way of RNAcentral. Lineage: Eukaryota; Metazoa; Chordata; Mammalia; Carnivora; Canidae. RNAcentral also lists the same sequence under 3 other names.
GCCUGGCUGGUUCCGUUGGUAGAGCAUGGGACUCUUGAUCCUGGGGUUGUGAGUUCAAGCCCUAUGUUGGGUG